This 137-nucleotide ribosomal RNA is filed under the name uncultured eukaryote. RNAcentral describes it as "partial 18S ribosomal RNA". It matches the Rfam family "Eukaryotic small subunit ribosomal RNA", at positions 1299 to 1458 of the family's 1831-position model. The record is from RNAcentral.
UGGUGGAGUGAUUUGUCUGGUUAAUUCCGUUAACGAACUAGACCUCAGCUUGUUGGUUGUUUCAAGUUAAAAUUCUUAGCUUGAAGGAUUGAGAAGGACGAUCGGUCUUUAGCCGAUGGAAGUUUGAGGCAAUAACA